Molecule: long non-coding RNA, 678 nt
Filed under: Equus caballus (horse)
Lineage: Eukaryota; Metazoa; Chordata; Mammalia; Perissodactyla; Equidae
Description: lncRNA (ENSECAG00000049841.1)
Source: RNAcentral
CUUGUCAGUCCGCUGUGGCAGCUGUAAGGGAAAGAAUCGGACGGAGAAGAAUGAAAAACCACUUCGUUCUAGCAGAGCGAAAGAAAAUUAAGGAUUAUCAGACUGUUCCGGGUAUCUUUAAAGUUCGCCCUGGUUUGCAUGACUACAAGAGGCUAAGAUGUGUGUGUAACCUGUGACUGCAGGAGAACCGAACGGGGCUAAAUCGGUGCUGAGAGGAGCUGUAGACGGGGCCAACUUCGAAGGUCCUCGUGGCCGAAUGAUCUUCCAUCACUCAGGGAGCUGAAACUUGAUGCCUUCCGACUUUCAUGUCUGUACUCUUGGCGUUGGGAAGAGCCUCGCGGGAAGGUGUUGCAAGCUUUGGUCGCAAGAGAAAGAAAUAAGUCAACUUUUUACCCCCUCUGCCUUAACACGGAGUACACCUCGGCCUUUUUCCGCUUGGAUGCUCAUUAAGAGUUAGUUGACUUUGUAGCGGAUGCAAUAAAACUUGGAUGGUUUCAGGGCCCAAACAAUCCUGGUUUCUGUUUUUCUCUCUCCCCAACCACACCCCCAAGGAAAUUGCCUUUUCAGCAGGCGCCUGCGGGAAAGAACCGCAGGAGACAGAUUCCCUUGGAGACCUGCUGGGGUGGGGGAGAGCUGCGGGUAUGGAAAUAAAGGGGGCCAAGGUAAGAGCGCAGGGCG